Molecule: transfer RNA, 69 nt
Filed under: Ictidomys tridecemlineatus (thirteen-lined ground squirrel)
Lineage: Eukaryota; Metazoa; Chordata; Mammalia; Rodentia; Sciuridae
Description: Spermophilus tridecemlineatus (thirteen-lined ground squirrel) tRNA
Rfam family: tRNA
About the family: Transfer RNA (tRNA) molecules are approximately 80 nucleotides in length. Their secondary structure includes four short double-helical elements and three loops (D, anti-codon, and T loops).
Source: Rfam by way of RNAcentral
GGAGUUGUGGCUCAGCAGUAGAGCACUUGCCUGGCAUGUGUGAGGCACUAGGUUCAAUUCUUAGCACCA